Molecule: ribosomal RNA, 460 nt
Filed under: uncultured bacterium
Lineage: Bacteria
Description: partial 16S ribosomal RNA
Rfam family: Bacterial small subunit ribosomal RNA
Source: RNAcentral
CCUACGGGUGGCAGCAGUGAGGAAUAUUGGUCAAUGGACGAGAGUCUGAACCAGCCAAGUCGCGUGAAGGAUGACUGCCCUAUGGGUUGUAAACUUCUUUUAUAUGGGAAUAAAAUGCUCUACGUGUGGGAUUUUGUAUGUACCAUAUGAAUAAGGCUCGGCUAACUCCGUGCCAGCAGCCGCGGUAAUACGGAGGAUCCGAGCGUUAUCCGGAUUUAUUGGGUUUAAAGGGAGCGUAGGUGGAUUGUUAAGUCAGUUGUGAAAGUUUGCGGCUCAACCGUAAAAUUGCAGUUGAAACUGGCAGUCUUGAGUACAGUAGAGGUGGGCGGAAUUCGUGGUGUAGCGGUGAAAUGCUUAGAUAUCACGAAGAACUCCGAUUGCGAAGGCAGUUCACUGGACUGCAACUGACACUGAGGCUCGAAAGUGUGGGUAUCAAACAGGAUUAGAUACCCUAGUAGUC